This 1154-nucleotide long non-coding RNA is filed under the name Homo sapiens (human). RNAcentral's name for it is "long non-coding RNA NONHSAT152741.1". The record is from RNAcentral. Lineage: Eukaryota; Metazoa; Chordata; Mammalia; Primates; Hominidae.
CCCACAUGCCUGCUUAAAGCCCUCUCCAUCCUCUGCCUCACCCAGUCCCCGCUGAGACUGAGCAGACGCCUCCAGGAUCUGUCGGCAGCUGCUGUUCUGAGGGAGAGCAGAGACCAUGUCUGACAUAGAAGAGGUGGUGGAAGAGUACGAGGAGGAGUGACAGAAGCAGCUGUUGAAGAGCAGGAGGAGGCAGCGGAAGAGGAUGCUGAAGCAGAGGCUGAGACCGAGGAGACCAGGGCAGAAGAAGAUGAAGAAGAAGAGGAAGCAAAGGAGGCUGAAGAUGGCCCAAUGGAGGAGUCCAAACCAAAGCCCAGGUCGUUCAUGCCCAACUUGGUGCCUCCCAAGAUCCCCGAUGGAGAGAGAGUGGACUUUGAUGACAUCCACCGGAAGCGCAUGGAGAAGGACCUGAAUGAGUUGCAGGCGCUGAUCGAGGCUCACUUUGAGAACAGGAAGAAAGAGGAGGAGGAGCUCGUUUCUCUCAAAGACAGGAUCGUAGAGACGUCGGGCAGAGCGGGCCGAGCAGCAGCGCAUCCGGAAUGAGCGGGAGAAGGAGCGGCAGAACCGCCUGGCUGAAGAGAGGGCUCGACGAGAGGAGGAGGAGAACAGGAGGAAGGCUGAGGAUGAGGCCCGGAAGAAGAAGGCUUUGUCCAACAUGAUGCAUUUUGGGGGUUACAUCCAGAAGACAGAGCGGAAAAGUGGGAAGAGGCAGACUGAGCGGGAAAAGAAGAAGAAGAUUCUGGCUGAGAGGAGGAAGGUGCUGGCCAUUGACCACCUGAAUGAAGAUCAGCUGAGGGAGAAGGCCAAGGAGCUGUGGCAGAGCAUCUAUAACUUGGAGGCAGAGAAGUUCGACCUGCAGGAGAAGUUCAAGCAGCAGAAAUAUGAGAUCAAUGUUCUCCGAAACAGGAUCAACGAUAACCAGAAAGUCUCCAAGACCCGCGGGAAGGCUAAAGUCACCGGGCGCUGGAAAUAGAGCCUGGCCUCCUUCACCAAAGAUCUGCUCCUCGCUCGCACCUGCCUCCGGCCUGCACUCCCCCAGUUCCCGGGCCCUCCUGGGCACCCCAGGCAGCUCCUGUUUGGAAAUGGGGAGCUGGCCUAGGUGGGAGCCACCACUCCUGCCUGCCCCCACACCCACUCCACACCAGUAAUAAAAAGCC